UCGCAUGCUCCCGGCCGCCAUGGCGGCCGCGGGAAUUCGAUUGGUAUUACCGCGGCUGCUGGCACGGAGUUAGCCAGAGCUUAUUCUCCCGGUACUGUCAUUAUCAUCCCGGGUAAAAGAGCUUUACAACCCUAAGGCCUUCAUCACUCACGCGGCAUUGCUGGAUCAGGCUUUCGCCCAUUGUCCAAUAUUCCCCACUGCUGCCUCCCGUAGGAGUCUGGGCCGUGUCUCAGUCCCAGUGUGGCUGGUCAUCCUCUCAGACCAGCUACGGAUCGUCGCCUUGGUAGGCUUUUACCCCACCAACUAGCUAAUCCGACGUAGGCUCACCCCAGAGCGCAAGGCCUUUCGGUCCCCUGCUUUUGAUCUCUCGAUAUCAUGUGGUAUUAGCCCGAGUUUCCUCGGGUUAUCCCACGCUCCAGGACAGAUUCCUACGUGUUACUCACCCGUCCGCCACUCGCCACCCCAUAAAGACCGAAAUCUUUACUGUGCUGCCGUUCGACUUGCAUGUGUUAGGCAUGCCGCCAGCGUUCAAUCUGAGCCAUGAUCAAACUCUAAUCACUAGUGAAUUCGCGGCCGCCUGCAGGUCGACCAUAU
RNAcentral lists this ribosomal RNA (594 nucleotides) under uncultured Alphaproteobacteria bacterium. RNAcentral describes it as "partial 16S ribosomal RNA". The record is from RNAcentral. Lineage: Bacteria; Pseudomonadati; Pseudomonadota; Alphaproteobacteria.